AAGAUGGAUCAUUGGGGAGUUUUAAAAGAACUUCUUUGCACCUAAUUAUUCAAGAAAUUGGAUUCAAAUUUAGUAAAAGAUGUCGAAACAGUAUGUUGACUGACAGGGAUGAUAUCUUUUUUUGGCGAAGAAAUUAUUUGAGAGAUAUUGUAAAGGCAAGAGAAGUUGGAAAAAAUAUUUAUUAUUUGGAUGAAACCUGGAUAAAUGAAGGCCAUACAAUGCCCAAAGUUUGGUCUGAUACAACAAUAACCAGCGCACGUGCAGCAUUUAUGUCUGGAUUGUCAACCGGCUUAAAAAAUCCCUCAGGAAAGGGCAAACGACUUAUCAUAACACAUGUUGGGAGUGACUCCAGAAAAAUGGAAGAAAUGUUGCAAACACGUGAUUGACGUUGUGGAACCACAAAUGAAUCAAAUGGACCACAACUUUGAAAAUUUGUCCGAAUCUUUUAUUAUUAAUGUAAAUGAUAGUAGUGAUAAGUCGUCUGAAAGUGAUGAAUAAAAAAUAUUAUUAUGAA
Non-coding RNA from Plutella xylostella (diamondback moth), 514 nucleotides. NCBI's taxonomy places the organism in Eukaryota, Metazoa, Arthropoda, Insecta, Lepidoptera, Plutellidae. The record is from RefSeq and is a predicted model, not a curated record.